Long non-coding RNA from Nymphalis io (European peacock), 301 nucleotides. RefSeq lists it as uncharacterized. The transcript is spliced from 3 exons. The record is from RefSeq and is a predicted model, not a curated record. NCBI's taxonomy places the organism in Eukaryota, Metazoa, Arthropoda, Insecta, Lepidoptera, Nymphalidae.
GUUACGUACAUCGUCUAAAGAGUUAUCGAGGAUUUAUGAUCGGCUGGCGGGAAGUUGGGAGUGGUGUGGUGUUCAUAGUAUUGCGUAUGGUGGUUGGGCUGAUAGUUCAAGUGGUGAACGUUUUUAUACUAGUAUUAAAUUUUAUAGGAACAUAUCAUAUGGGAUUCAAUUAUUGGUUAUAUGUCAGGCCCUUACACUAUUACUUUCAGCAAUAUUACAUUUUCUAUUUCCUUCGAAGACUGACGAUCUUAAAGCCACUAUUAGGAAGGAGAAACAAAUCAAGCAAAAAUUCUAUAUCCGC